Molecule: ribosomal RNA, 648 nt
Filed under: uncultured bacterium
Lineage: Bacteria
Description: bacterial SSU rRNA
Rfam family: Bacterial small subunit ribosomal RNA
Source: RNAcentral
GUCGUGCGCGAGGUGGCUUCGGCCACUGGAGAGCGGCGAACGGGUGAGUAACACGUGGGUAAUCUGCCUUGGAGCGGGGGAUAACCUGGGGAAACUCGGGCUAAUACCGCAUACGUUGGUUGGGUCAUGGCUCGACCAAGAAAGCUGGCCUCUACUUGUAAGCUAGCGCUCCUAGAGGAGCCCGCGUCUGAUUAGCUAGUUGGUGAGGUAAUGGCUCACCAAGGCGACGAUCAGUAGCCGGCCUGAGAGGGUGAUCGGCCACACUGGGACUGAGACACGGCCCAGACUCCUACGGGAGGCAGCAGUGGGGAAUAUUGGACAAUGGGCGCAAGCCUGAUCCAGCAACGCCGCGUGGAGGAUGAAGGUCUUCGGAUCGUAAACUCCUGUCAGACGGGACGAAGGUCCUGGGGCAAAUAGUCCCAGGGCUUGACGGUACCGUCAGAGGAAGCCCCGGCUAACUCCGUGCCAGCAACCGCGGUAAUACGGAGGGGGCGAGCGUUAUUCGGAAUUAUUGGGCGUAAAGGGCGCGUACGCGGCUAGGUAAGUCAAGGUGAAAUCCCUCGGCUCACUGAUGAACUGCCUUUGAAACUGUCUAGCUUGAGGCCGGAAGGGUGGCUGAAUUCCCAGUGUAGCCGUGAAAUGCGUAUA